UCGGCUGCGACGUGUACCUGUUGCAUCACCUCUCCAUCGUAACACCUACUCCCUCCCUUGCAGUCGCAAACCAUUACAAUCAAGUUUGCUGUAUCCUACUCUUAACUUAUGUGAUGGUUCUAAGUUCUGAUUUUAUGGCUAAUUUUUUAUUUUUUCCAGCUAUUUUGAUUUUGAACCAUUAAGACCAUUCCAAUGAGUACUCAUCAGAAGGUAGUGUCGCUUAAUUCAUUCUCAUUAUAGUGCAUUCUGCAAGUUGGGGUGUUUGGACGUUUUGUGUUCUAAAUGGCCCUAACACAAAUCUAAAUUAAUGGUGAUGAGGUUUGAAACUGAUUUUCAUGCUUACUAUCGUUGCUGUUGGUUACUCUAUAUUCUUUUGUUGUAGGCAGUGAGGUGCACAAAAGCAGUCGUAAGAGAAGGUCGCGUCGGAUACUUCUAGCAACAUGCCAAAAAUAACAAAUUGGCAACAACAAUUUUUGCUUCCUUGAAGCCUUUUUUGGUCUUUCGGAAGGAAGAUAACCCCACGCAACCGGUUUUGUAAGAAGCUCAUCUUUCGUCAUUUGGAAAAAAAGGUUACAUAUUUUGGAAUAGCAAAGCUUUGUGUGGUUCCCAACCCUCAUAUGUCCACCCGCUCAAUUGCAA
Rhododendron vialii is the source of this 639-nucleotide long non-coding RNA. RefSeq lists it as uncharacterized. NCBI's taxonomy places the organism in Eukaryota, Viridiplantae, Streptophyta, Magnoliopsida, Ericales, Ericaceae. The transcript is spliced from 3 exons. The record is from RefSeq and is a predicted model, not a curated record.